GGAAGUAACUGAUCUUCAAGAGAUGUCGAGAGAUGAAAGGCUGUUUCCAUGCCUAUAUUGGAGCUCAACACUUCUUCUGUCAUAAGUCCUAACAACCAAGACGUAAGCAAACCGUCAUUGCUUUCCUAUGAGAUCAAUUCGGGAUUUUCAACAAUUUCUCCAUCUUUCUGUAAAAUUUUCUCUUGUGGCUUUUCAGACAUAAGAAUGUGGUUCGAUAAUCCGAGGCUUCGAAUGAGGGGUAGGAUUUGAGAUCGCCACAGAAGAAAAUUUGUAGAGUUAAGUCUCACGGAGAUAAGGCUGGAACAUUGGUGGAAGGCUUGGAUGUUUAGGGUUGGCUCUUUAGGAAGAGAUGACGAAGAAGAAGA
This 365-nucleotide long non-coding RNA is filed under the name Citrus sinensis (sweet orange). RNAcentral's name for it is "long non-coding RNA (CSIN_LNC002186)". Lineage: Eukaryota; Viridiplantae; Streptophyta; Magnoliopsida; Sapindales; Rutaceae. The record is from RNAcentral.